Molecule: ribosomal RNA, 253 nt
Filed under: uncultured bacterium
Lineage: Bacteria
Description: partial 16S ribosomal RNA
Rfam family: Bacterial small subunit ribosomal RNA
Source: RNAcentral
UACGAAGGGGGCUAGCGUUGUUCGGAAUCACUGGGCGUAAAGGGUGCGUAGGCUGGUUCUUAAGUCAGGGGUGAAAUCCUGAGGCUCAACCUCGGAAGGGCAUUUGAUACUGGGAGCCUUGAGUCCGGAAGGGGUGAGUGGAACUGCGAGUGUAGAGGUGAAAUUCGUAGAUAUUCGGAAGAACACCGGUGGCGAAGGCGGCUCACUGGUCCGGAACUGACGCUGAGGCACGACAGCGUGGGGAGCAAACAGG